AAUCGGGAGCCGUUUAAUGAGUUAGUGCCUAACCCCGUCAGAUCCGGAAGGAAGCAGCGGUAAGUACAACCUCAUGUAAUCGGUUUCCCGGUUUUU
This 96-nucleotide signal recognition particle RNA is filed under the name Ignavibacteria bacterium RBG_16_34_14. RNAcentral describes it as "signal recognition particle sRNA small type". It matches the Rfam family "Bacterial small signal recognition particle RNA". Rfam says of the family: The signal recognition particle (SRP) is a universally conserved ribonucleoprotein involved in the co-translational targeting of proteins to membranes. Archaeal SRP consists of a 7S RNA and homologues of the eukaryotic SRP19 and SRP54 proteins. In most bacteria, the SRP consists of a 4.5S RNA and the Ffh protein (a homologue of the eukaryotic SRP54 protein). Lineage: Bacteria; Pseudomonadati; Ignavibacteriota; Ignavibacteria. The record is from RNAcentral.